Molecule: transfer RNA, 76 nt
Filed under: Alphaproteobacteria bacterium
Lineage: Bacteria; Pseudomonadati; Pseudomonadota; Alphaproteobacteria
Description: tRNA-Lys
Rfam family: tRNA
About the family: Transfer RNA (tRNA) molecules are approximately 80 nucleotides in length. Their secondary structure includes four short double-helical elements and three loops (D, anti-codon, and T loops).
Source: RNAcentral
GGGCGCAUAGCUCAGUUGGUAGAGCAGCUGACUCUUAAUCAGCCGGUCCUCGGUUCGAAUCCGAGUGCGCCCCCCA